UGGGGAAUAUUGCACAAUGGGCGCAAGCCUGAUGCAGCCAUGCCGCGUGUAUGAAGAAGGCCUUCGGGUUGUAAAGUACUUUCAGUCGGGAGGAAGGUGGUAAGGUUAAUAACCUUGGCAAUUGACGUUACCGACAGAAGAAGCACCGGCUAACUCCGUGCCAGCAGCCGCGGUAAUACGGAGGGUGCAAGCGUUAAUCGGAAUUACUGGGCGUAAAGCGCACGCAGGCGGGUUGUUAAGUCAGAUGUGAAAUCCCCGGGCUCAACCUGGGAGCUGCAUCUGAUACUGGCAAGCUUGAGUCUCGUAGAGGGUGGUAGAAUGCCAGGUGUAGCGGUGAAAUGCGUAGAGAUCUGGAGGAAUACCGGUGGCGAAGGCGGCCCCCUGGACGAAGACUGACGCUCAGGUGCGAAAGCGUGGGGAGCAAACAGG
RNAcentral lists this ribosomal RNA (429 nucleotides) under Chloroflexota bacterium. RNAcentral's name for it is "Chloroflexi bacterium partial 16S ribosomal RNA". It matches the Rfam family "Bacterial small subunit ribosomal RNA", at positions 355 to 776 of the family's 1533-position model. The record is from RNAcentral. Lineage: Bacteria; Bacillati; Chloroflexota.